GUGAGAAGUUGUAAAGCCAACGCUUGAAUUCAGGUGUUCUGACUCUUCACCUAGUAGCUGCUUUAAGAUGAUCACAAUUGGGAAAGAAAUUCAGCUGGGAGAGCUAAAAAUAUAUCAUAAAUACACAUGAUGUCAUGAUACAUCAAAGUUCAGAUCUGAAAAUGUUUCUUAGUCUGCAGAUUAAAAAAUGUUUUUGAUGAGUCAACAACAUUCAGUGCUGUGAACUGUUCUUACUCCCUCAAGCCAUAGGUACAGAGAUCAUCAUUCUGUAUUUAGUUUGGAAUGAUGCCCCAGAAUCAGAGUUCCUAAAUAGCACUAAUGAUUUCACAGAUUUCAGGAAGAAUAGGGGACAUUGACCAUGACACAUAACGAUACUCAUUAAGUUGCAGAAUAGAAUACUUGUAAUUACCAAUUAAAAAGUGGGGUGAACAAAAUCUAAAUCCAUGGACAUGUAGGGUUGGAGCAGAGUCUCCUCAGCCUUAAUGGUAGCUUUGCGUGAAUCAGAAAAUGUGCUUUUCUUCCAGGUGGACACAACCCUAACCCAGGGUACACAGGUUAGUGAGAAAAGCUCUGGCUGGAUUCAGCUUUGUUUAUUCAUCUCCUCACAUGGAUGUUCUUUGUGGCCAUCUAAGAUAGAACAACAGCCUUCAAAGUUGCCUAACUCACUUUCCCACAUUCAGGCUCCUCUACCCCAUGACUUCCACCUCUUCCCCGCUGCCCGCAAUCCACUGGCACUCUCCGUAGCAGGAAGGAGAAAUAAGUGGCUUGACAGCUUUGACGCUCUCAUGAGGCCAACACAGUACUUCAAAACCAAACACUUAGGAAUUUCUUCUCAACCAUCGUUGCUGCAGCCCCAGGGAAAAUCAAGACAGAUGUGAGUGGUCAUGGAAGCUCACAGAUCAUAAAUUUGCUUUCUACUCAUGCUGCUGGAGUGCCCUGCCGUCCUUGUGUUUUUGGCAUCUCUGUACUAUCACCUUUUCCUAAGGUCUGCUCAAUGGACAUUUACUCUACUACAUUGUAAGGGAUGACUAUAGCUUCAUAAUCCCC
RNAcentral lists this long non-coding RNA (1047 nucleotides) under Papio anubis (olive baboon). RNAcentral describes it as "lncRNA (ENSPANG00000045534.1)". Lineage: Eukaryota; Metazoa; Chordata; Mammalia; Primates; Cercopithecidae. The record is from RNAcentral.